GGCAGUUCUCGGUGACACAUCCGGAAUCAGGCUCCUUCCUCUCUGGUUCUGGGUGCGUCACCAAGUCACUGCA
Molecule: non-coding RNA, 73 nt
Organism: Myotis lucifugus (little brown bat)
Lineage: Eukaryota; Metazoa; Chordata; Mammalia; Chiroptera; Vespertilionidae
Source: Rfam